GACAGAGGGUGCAACCGUUGUUCGGAAUUACUGGGCGUAAAGCGCGUGUAGGCUGCUCGGAAAGUCGGAUGUGAAAGCCCUGGGCUUAACCUAGGAAGUGCAUUCGAAACUUCCGAGCUGGAGUUCUGGAGAGGAAGGCGGAAUUCUCGGUGUAGAGGUGAAAUUCGUAGAUAUCGAGAGGAACACCGGUGGCGAAGGCGGCUUCCUGGACCGGUUCUGACACUGAGGAGCGAAAGCGUGGGGAGCGAGCCGG
RNAcentral lists this ribosomal RNA (253 nucleotides) under uncultured bacterium. RNAcentral describes it as "partial 16S ribosomal RNA". It matches the Rfam family "Bacterial small subunit ribosomal RNA", at positions 524 to 776 of the family's 1533-position model. The record is from RNAcentral.